UAAAGGAAUUGGCGGGGGAGCACCACAAGGGGUGGAGCCUGCGGUUCAAUUGGAGUCAACGCCCGAAACCUUACCCGGGGAGACAGCUGGAUGAAGGCCGGGCUGAAGACCCUGCCAGACAAGCUGAGAGGUGGUGCAUGGCCGUCGCCGGCUCGUACCGUGAGGCGUCCGGUUAAGUCCGGCAACGAGCGAGACCCGCGCCGCCAAUUGCUCCAGCCCUCUUCGGGGGGCUGAGGAAAUUGGCGGGACUGCCGCCGUAAGGCGGAGGAAGGAGCGGGCUACGGCAGAUCAGUAUGCCCUGAAUCCCCGGGGCCACACGCGGGCUACUAUGGAGCGGACAAUGGGGGGCGAACCCGAAAGGGGGAGCUAAUCCUCAAACCGCGCCUCACUUGGGAUCGAGGGAUGCAACCCGUCCUCGUGAACCUGGAAUCCCUAGUAAUCGCGCCUCAAAAUGGCGCGGUGAAUACGUGCCUGCUCCUUGCACACACCGCCA
This 493-nucleotide ribosomal RNA is filed under the name uncultured archaeon. RNAcentral's name for it is "bacterial SSU rRNA". It matches the Rfam family "Archaeal small subunit ribosomal RNA", at positions 857 to 1351 of the family's 1478-position model. The record is from RNAcentral.